RNAcentral lists this unclassified non-coding RNA (391 nucleotides) under soil metagenome. RNAcentral describes it as "partial contains 5.8S ribosomal RNA, internal transcribed spacer 2, and large subunit ribosomal RNA". The stretch from base 1 to 122 matches the Rfam family "5.8S ribosomal RNA", at positions 35 to 154 of the family's 154-position model. The record is from RNAcentral.
GAUGAAGAACGUAGCGAAAUGCGAUACUUGGUGUGAAUUGCAGAAUCCCGUGAACCAUCGAGUCUUUGAACGCAAGUUGCGCCCGAAGCAAUUAGGCCGAGGGCACGCCUGCCUGGGCGUCACACGUCGUUGCCCCCCCAUCUACUCCUUCGGGAUUGCGGGGGGCGGAUGAUGGCCUCCCGUGCGCCUCGCCGCGCGGUUGGCAUAAAUGCCAAGUCCUCGGCGACGCACGCCACGACAAUCGGUGGUUGCGAAACCUCGGUUGCCCGUCGUGUGCGGUCGUCGCGCAUCGAGGGCUCGAAAAAAUUGCCGGGUUCCGGCUCGGCUUUCAACGCGACCCCAGGUCAGGCGGGGUUACCCGCUGAAUUUAAGCAUAUCAAUAAGCGGAGGA